AAAUUGAAGAGUUUGAUCAUGGCUCAGAUUGAACGCUGGCGGCAGGCCUAACACAUGCAAGUCGAACGGUAACAGGAAGCAGCUUGCUGUUUCGCUGACGAGUGGCGGACGGGUGAGUAAUGUCUGGGAAACUGCCUG
This 138-nucleotide ribosomal RNA is filed under the name Escherichia coli. Its description in RNAcentral is "partial 16S ribosomal RNA". It matches the Rfam family "Bacterial small subunit ribosomal RNA", at positions 1 to 132 of the family's 1533-position model. The record is from RNAcentral. Lineage: Bacteria; Pseudomonadati; Pseudomonadota; Gammaproteobacteria; Enterobacterales; Enterobacteriaceae. RNAcentral also lists the same sequence under 4 other names.